AUGUAGCGAGCUGAGUGGGGAGGAGAGAAGGACAGAGAGCCUGCUUGCUUUAAAGGAGCCAACUGCUUUGCUCUCCUCUCCCGCUUUGCCCCUUUGCAGGCUCUCUGUCCCUCUCUCCUCCCCACUCAGCGGCUCUUCUC
RNAcentral lists this microRNA precursor (140 nucleotides) under Podarcis lilfordi (Lilford's wall lizard). The record is from RNAcentral. Lineage: Eukaryota; Metazoa; Chordata; Lepidosauria; Squamata; Lacertidae.